UACGUAGGGGGCAAGCGUUGUUCGGAUUCAUUGGGCGUAAAGGGUGCGUAGGCGGCGCGGUAAGUCGGGUGUGAAAUCUUGGAGCUUAACUCCGAAACUGCAUUCGAUACUGCCGUGCUUGAGGACUGGAGAGGAGACUGGAAUUUACGGUGUAGCGGUGAAAUGUGUAGAGAUCGGGAGGAACACCGGUGGCGAAGGCGGGUCUCUGGGCAUUUCCUGACGCUGAGGCACGAAGGCCAGGGGAGCAAACGGG
RNAcentral lists this ribosomal RNA (253 nucleotides) under uncultured bacterium. Its description in RNAcentral is "partial 16S ribosomal RNA". It matches the Rfam family "Bacterial small subunit ribosomal RNA", at positions 524 to 776 of the family's 1533-position model. The record is from RNAcentral.